Molecule: ribosomal RNA, 439 nt
Filed under: uncultured bacterium
Lineage: Bacteria
Description: partial 16S ribosomal RNA
Rfam family: Bacterial small subunit ribosomal RNA
Source: RNAcentral
CUACGGGGCGCAGCAGUGAGGAAUAUUGCACAAUGGGGGGAACCCUGAUGCAGCAACGCCGCGUGGAGGAUGACGCAUUUCGGUGUGUAAACUCCUUUUAUAUGUCAAGAAAAUGACGGUAGCAUAUGAAUAAGCACCGGCUAACUCCGUGCCAGCAGCCGCGGUAAUACGGAGGGUGCAAGCGUUAUUCGGAAUCACUGGGCGUAAAGGACGCGUAGGCGGGUUGGUAAGUCUGAUGUGAAAUCCUACAGCUUAACUGUAGAACUGCAUUGGAAACUACUAACCUAGAGUAUGGGAGGGGGAGAUGGAAUUAGUGGUGUAGGGGUAAAAUCCGUAGAUAUCACUAGGAAUACCGAAAGCGAAGGCGAUCUCCUGGAACAUUACUGACGCUAAGGCGUGAAAGCGUGGGGAGCAAACGGGAUUAGAUACCCUGGUAGUC